AUGGGGCAUCAUUCAGAUGAUGAGUACUCAGUAGCCGGUGAUAAGCCGGAAGUAGAGUUCAUGGAUUUUCAGAAUGACAACACUCUUCAGGACUAUCAAUCUGAUGAUGGUCCCGUGGUUGUUACGGCUCCUUUCCCUUUUUUGAACGGAAAGCCUAAAUCUGUCCUUGUUGGACAAACAUCUGCAGACGCCAUUCGCAUAGAUAAUACCUCUUGUGAGCCUGUAAAUUUGUGGAGUGUGAGAAUAUUCUCUUCAAAUCCAGAAGAUAGUUAUGUCUUGUCAAUGAUGAGACCACCGUUGAAUGAUUCCGAUGAAGCGGCAAAGAAGGCUUUUCUUGGUUUGACUUCUGUGGAAGAUCGUACACUUCAGCCUGGACAAACCCUAACCAUUUGGCUGUCCUGUAUGCCAAAAGACAUUGGUUUGCAUACAUCAAUCGUGCAUGUUGAUAUUGGGGAUGAGAAGAUUGAGCGUGUGGCUUUUCUGUUGGCCGAUGAUAAUGUUUCAAUGGCCUUAUCUUCUGAUAAACCUUAUUCCAGGAGACAAGGCUCUCAAAGGAAGCAAUUUGAGUGUAAUACAUUUGUGCCAGGUAGCCGGCCAAUUCGGCAGCACACUCAAGGAUUCAAGUAUAAGCUACCUCAGUAUGCAAUACCUGUGGAAAUCCGUGAGCUCAUUGAAUGCAAACAGAGACCUGAUGUCCUAUCUGAAGAGCUGAGCAUGAUGAACUAUGCAAAGUUCUUUAGCACUCUUUUAGUCAUGGAAGAACUUAAUUUGGAGGAGGAGAUGAGAUCGUACGACAUGGAGCGUGUGUCAAUGAGAAGGAGGGGUAAUGAUUAUUUGUCUCUUGAGGUCCCUGGUUUGGCAGAAAAAAGGCCUUCGCUAGUCCAUGGUGACUAUAUAAUUGCCAGACAUGCUGGGAGUGAUGCUAGGCCUUAUCAGGGCUACAUUCACAAGGUUGAAGCUGAUGAGAUAUUUUUGAGGUUUGAUGAUCAGUUUCACCACGCUCACCAUGACAGGAAUAAGUAUGAUGUUAGCUUCACAUAUAAUAGAUUGAACAUGAGAAGGCAAUAUAGGUCUGUUCAUGAUGCAGAACUUAUUGGACCUGACAUUCUAUUUCCAUCCCUAUCACGGUAUAGAAGUGUGAAGAAGGUGCCAUUUAAACCUCUGAACCCGAACAUAAACACUGAGCAAGCUGAUGCAGUUGGGAUGAUACUUGGCUGCCGAGGGGUUACACCAUACGUGAUUUAUGGACCUCCAGGAACUGGCAAGACCAUGACCCUUGUCGAGGCGAUUUUGCAGCUUUAUAAAUCCAAUAGGAGGGCAAAUGUUCUCAUAUGUGCUGCUUCCAAUAGUGCUGCUGACCAUGUAUUGGAAAAACUGUUGAGUUCUAGCUACCCGAUCCGCCCAAGUGAUAUCUUUAGGCUAAAUGCUCCUAGUCGUCAGUAUGACGAUGUUAAUCCUGAUUUCAUACGGUUCUGCUUCUUUGAAGAUAUGGUGUUCAAGUGCCCUCCAAUGCGAGCAUUAAUGCGCUACAAGAUAGUUAUAUCAACCUACAUGAGUUCAUCAACCCUACAGGCCGAGGGUAUUCGCCCGGGGCAUUUCACACACAUUUUCUUGGAUGAGGCCGGUCAAUCUUCUGAACCAGAGGCAAUGGUUCCUUUGGCAGCUUUGUGUGGAAGAGACACAGUGGUUGUGUUAGCAGGAGAUCCUAUGCAAUUAGGGCCGGUGGUUUUUUGUAAACAGGCGGAUCAGGAUGGUUUGGGAAAAUCUUAUCUGCAAAGGCUGCUCGGUGAAUUUGAGCAGUACCAUUCAGGGGAUCCUAACUACGUGACAAAGCUAUUGAGGAACUAUCGUUGCCAUCCAGCAAUCCUAGAGCUACCGUCACAGCUUUUCUACAAGGGUGAACUUAUCCCCUGUAAGGGAGAUGAAGUGCCAUCUGUUUACGAUUGUAUUGGCCUUCCCAAUAAGUCAUUCCCUGUUCUGUUUGUUGGAAUCCAGGGAUGCGAUGAGAGAGAAGGCAACAAUCCAUCAUGGUUCAACAGAAUCGAAGUUAGUAAAGUAGUAAAUAUCAUCAGGACUCUGACAAGGAAUGGCGAUGUCAGUGAGGCUGAUAUUGGUGUCAUUACUCCAUAUCGUCAACAAGUUAACAAGAUAAAGAAGGCCCUAGAGACGUUUGAAAUGCCCGACCUAAGAGUGGGAAGUGUUGAGCAAUUCCAGGGCCAAGAAAGGGAAGUGAUCAUCAUCUCAACAGUCAGGUCAACCGUUAAGCACAACGAGUUUGACAGAUUCUUCAACCUGGGGUUCCUGAGCAACUAUAGAAGGUUCAAUGUCGCAAUUACUCGUGCCAAAUCGUUGCUAAUUAUCGUCGGAAACCCUCACAUCAUCACUAAGGAUCGGCACUGGGAUAAGCUCCUGAGGUACUGCGCAGACAAUGGUUCUUAUCAAGGAUGUCCGCUCCCCCCACCAGAAGAAGAGGUCAGAUACUCGGGAUACGGCGACACCCGAGACCAGCCUGCUGGUGAUGGUUGGGGGUACAACCAAGAGGAGCCAUCAAACCACAUCCACAAUCAAGACCGGUCUGACAGUGGCUUCAGACACGACAAUGGCCGGUCCUCAACCGCACACGAAGAAGAAUGGUCCGAAGAAUGGUCCAAGGAGAAGCCAGACGGGGACUUACAUUCAUAUCCGGAUGCAGGAGCAGAACCUCAGGCAGAGACACAGCAGAAGCAGCAGCACGUCGAGGAAGAGGUUACUACUGGGCAGGACGACGUGCAGGCUGGCCACUGCUCAGCCAACGAUGUCGACAACGGUGCGGUCCAAGACGCAUAUGUGCAGAAGUACACGUUUCCUCCCGGUUGGGGUGACGUCUCGAGCAUCCCCGCGACAGGCUGGGAGUGA
RNAcentral lists this ribosomal RNA (2895 nucleotides) under Triticum aestivum (bread wheat). RNAcentral's name for it is "partial small subunit ribosomal RNA". The record is from RNAcentral. Lineage: Eukaryota; Viridiplantae; Streptophyta; Magnoliopsida; Poales; Poaceae.